CCUACGGGGGGCAGCAGUCGAGAAUCAUUCACAAUGGGGGAAACCCUGAUGGUGCGACGCCGCGUGGGGGAAUGAAGGUCUUCGGAUUGUAAACCCCUGUCAUGUGGGAGCAAAUUAAAAAGAUAGUACCACAAGAGGAAGAGACGGCUAACUCUGUGCCAGCAGCCGCGGGAAUACAGAGGUCUCAAGCGUUGUUCGGAAUCACUGGGCGUAAAGCGUGCGUAGGCUGUUUCGUAAGUCGUGUGUGAAAGGCGCGGGCUCAACCCGCGGACGGCACAUGAUACUGCGAGACUAGAGUAAUGGAGGGGGAACCGGAAUGCUCGGUGUAGCAGUGAAAUGCGUAGAUAUCGAGAGGAACACUCGUGGCGAAGGCGGGUUCCUGGACAUUAACUGACGCUGAGGCACGAAGGCCAGGGGAGCGAAAGGGAUUAGAUACCCUAGUAGUC
RNAcentral lists this ribosomal RNA (446 nucleotides) under uncultured bacterium. Its description in RNAcentral is "partial 16S ribosomal RNA". It matches the Rfam family "Bacterial small subunit ribosomal RNA", at positions 338 to 795 of the family's 1533-position model. The record is from RNAcentral.